GAAUUCAGAAAAGAGCCAGUGGAAAACAUGGAUGAUGUCAUCUACUAUGUGAAUGGCACUUACCGCCUGCUGGAAUUUCUUGUGGCCCUCUGUGUGGUGGCCUAUGGCGUCUCAGAGACCAUCUUUGGAGAAUGGACAGUGAUGGGCUCAAUGAUCAUCUUCAUUCAUUCCUACUACAACGUGUGGCUUCGGGCCCAGCUGGGGUGGAAGAGCUUUCUUCUCCGCAGGGAUGCUGUGAAUAAGAUUAAAUCGUUACCCAUUGCUACGAAAGAGCAGCUUGAGAAACACAAUGAUAUUUGUGCCAUCUGUUAUCAGGACAUGAAAUCUGCUGUGAUCACGCCUUGCAGUCAUUUUUUCCAUGCAGGCUGUCUUAAGAAAUGGCUGUAUGUCCAGGAGACCUGCCCUCUGUGCCACUGCCACCUGAAAAACUCCUCCCAGCUUCCAGGAUUAGGAACUGAGCCAGUUCUACAGCCUCAUGCUGGAGCUGAGCAAAACGUCAUGUUUCAGGAAGGUACUGAACCCCCAGGCCAAGAGCAUACUCCAGGGACCAGGAUACAGGAAGGUUCUAGGGACAAUAAUGAGCACAUCGCCAGACGACCAGAUAACCAGGAAGGGGCUUUUGACCCCAAAGAAUGUCCUCACAGUGCAAAAGAUGAAGCACAUCCUGUUGAAUCAGCCUAGAGGAGAAGCAGCAGGAAUGAUGCUUUUGAUACUCUGGAGGAGAAGUUAACUCAAGAUGGAAUUCAUGUUCUGAUUUGAGGAAUGAAAAUGAGAUGAUCAGGCAGGAAACUGACAUUCCAAGGAUCUAAUCCAGGAAGUACUCUCAGUGGGAACCACCUGCUUUCAUCCCCUGACAUUGUGGGAGAAAUUUUGCAAUGUAUGUUAAUCAAAAUGUAUUUAUAUGUUCUAUGCUGAUGUUUUAUAGAGGUUUGUGAAGAAAAUUCAACCUCAACAACUUCAGAAACUGCCCCUGAUAUGUGUGAGAGAGAAAUAAAAUCAGAUUUUGAGUGUUGAAGGGACUGAGAAAGUGAGGAUAAAGAGCAUGAGGACAGCAUAGAAGGAAGGAGGCAGAAGUGGAACUGAACUUUCACUCUCCAUGGGACAGAUCAAUCUCAUUAUCAAGUCUGAAUAGCAACCAGCCCUCUCCUCCACCCCGUUUCUCCUCAGUUAAUUGGAACUCAGUCAGAUGAUUAUUGAGUCUUGUACAGCACUGAAAUGAAAUCAAAGAUGAAGAAGCAUUGAUUGUAUUCAAAGAUUGAAGCACGCUCAUUCUUUGUAUGUGCUUUAGGGAAGGGGUGGGUGGGCACUUGGGCCUUGCGGGUGCAUUCAUGUAAUCUGAGACUCUUGAAUUUUAUGACGGAGUCUUCAAUAUUUUGAUGUAUAUGAAACUUUUGUUAAUAUGUUGUAUACUUUGCUGGCUGUGUGAAGUAAACUAAAACUCUAAUGAACACUUUGGAGUCCGCUUUAGUGAAGGAGACCAAAGUGGGAAGGGCUUUAGGGCACUGAUAGAGGCCCUGGGUGUACUUUUCAAUCCUGUGUAAUGUUUAAUUCUUGGAACUGAAUCAAAACAGUGUUAAAUUAUGGCAAUAUUUGCACUUUGGGAAUGAGUACAUAACUGUAUGAUCACACUCUGCAAAUGCCACUUUUAAAGCUGUUAAUAGACUUUGCACCUUUUCUUUGACAAGGAUGUGUCAUAUUUAAAUUUUUACAUUCAUCAAGGCUACAGGUAGAACUGGGGAGGGGGGAAUGUAAUUUUUUAUGGGAAUUUUGAUAUGAAAAGAAACUAGUCAUUUAUUUAUACAAUAGGCUUGGCUCAAAAAGUGUUUUUCAGACCUCGGUAUUCCUAAUGUGGGAUGUGACUUUAUUUUAUUUUUAGUAGCAAAUUUGGAUGUAGACUGACAGACAUAGCUGAAUGUCUUAAUAAAUUUAAAUUUGAAGAU
RNAcentral lists this small RNA (1940 nucleotides) under Pongo abelii (Sumatran orangutan). RNAcentral describes it as "processed transcript". The record is from RNAcentral. Lineage: Eukaryota; Metazoa; Chordata; Mammalia; Primates; Hominidae.